GAGGAUAUAUCUCAGUGGUAGAGCACAUGCUUAGCAUGCACAAGGUCCUGGGUUCAAUCCCCAGUACCUCCA
RNAcentral lists this transfer RNA (72 nucleotides) under Camelus bactrianus (Bactrian camel). It matches the Rfam family "tRNA". Rfam says of the family: Transfer RNA (tRNA) molecules are approximately 80 nucleotides in length. Their secondary structure includes four short double-helical elements and three loops (D, anti-codon, and T loops). Further hydrogen bonds mediate the characteristic L-shaped molecular structure. tRNAs have two regions of fundamental functional importance: the anti-codon, which is responsible for specific mRNA codon recognition, and the 3' end, to which the tRNAs corresponding amino acid is attached (by aminoacyl-tRNA synthetases). tRNAs cope with the degeneracy of the genetic code in two manners: having more than one tRNA (with a specific anti-codon) for a particular amino acid; and 'wobble' base-pairing, i.e. permitting non-standard base-pairing at the 3rd anti-codon position. RNAcentral also lists the same sequence under 2 other names. Lineage: Eukaryota; Metazoa; Chordata; Mammalia; Artiodactyla; Camelidae. The record is from Rfam by way of RNAcentral.